Molecule: ribosomal RNA, 430 nt
Filed under: Pseudomonadota bacterium
Lineage: Bacteria; Pseudomonadati; Pseudomonadota
Description: Proteobacteria bacterium partial 16S ribosomal RNA
Rfam family: Bacterial small subunit ribosomal RNA
Source: RNAcentral
UGGGGAAUAUUGGACAAUGGGCGGAAGCCUGAUCCAGCCAUGCCGCGUGUGUGAAGAAGGCCUUUUGGUUGUAAAGCACUUUAAGCGAGGAGGAGGCUCUUCUAGUUAAUACCUAGGAUGAGUGGACGUUACUCGCAGAAUAAGCACCGGCUAACUCUGUGCCAGCAGCCGCGGUAAUACAGAGGGUGCGAGCGUUAAUCGGAUUUACUGGGCGUAAAGCGUGCGUAGGCGGCUGAUUAAGUCGGAUGUGAAAUCCCUGAGCUUAACUUAGGAAUUGCAUUCGAUACUGGUCAGCUAGAGGAUGGGAGAGGAUGGUAGAAUUCCAGGUGUAGCGGUGAAAUGCGUAGAGAUCUGGAGGAAUACCGAUGGCGAAGGCAGCCAUCUGGCCUAACACUGACGCUGAGGUACGAAAGCAUGGGGAGCAAACAGG